ACCCUCUGGACUCCCUACCCCUGAAAUCUAAGCACUGGUCUGAGUGACUAUCCAAGGAGGAAAAUUAAAACUGAAGUGAACUUGGAAUGUUUAAUGACAUAGAAAUUCAUUUCAAACAAAA
This 121-nucleotide small nucleolar RNA is filed under the name Echinops telfairi (small Madagascar hedgehog). Its description in RNAcentral is "Small nucleolar RNA SNORA61 (ENSETEG00000025608.1)". The record is from RNAcentral. Lineage: Eukaryota; Metazoa; Chordata; Mammalia; Afrosoricida; Tenrecidae.